Molecule: non-coding RNA, 3173 nt
Organism: Ictidomys tridecemlineatus (thirteen-lined ground squirrel)
Lineage: Eukaryota; Metazoa; Chordata; Mammalia; Rodentia; Sciuridae
Source: RefSeq, a predicted model, not a curated record
UGGACAGGCAGGGUCAGGGUUCACCCCAGCUCCUGGGGCAGCAGCCCCCCCCCCGCCCCCCACAUGGCAGAUCCAUUUCCUGGCUCUAAUUCAGGACACCUAAGCCAGUGUGACGCAGGCCACGGAGGCUACGGGGCCAAGGCACCCCUGCUCUCGGCCACAGACAGGCCUGGCAGAGCUGCGCUAGGGAGACAGGCUCCCUCCUCCUCCUGAGCCGGGCCAAGGACUUGGGCACCAGGGCUACGGGAGCCAGAGGACACCUGAUCCUGCCCUACCUCACCACCCAGGGACCAUCCCCAACCAGGGGCCAUCUGAGGCUCUGAGGCCACCGCAGCAGCAGGGAGCGCAGAGGCCCCCACCCCACGGCGGCUUCUGCAUUCUUGAAAGCCUUGCAGAAGCCCUCACUCGCCUGGAGCCCGAGCUGGGAGCUGGAGCCCAAGAGGCCCUGCCAAGCGCGGGUAGCACCCUCGCCAGGGAAAGCUGCUGUCACAGGCAAACAUUCUGGGGAGAGCAGUUGUUUACCACCAACGCCGGGCACUGUCAAGGCAUCCUCAAGGAAAUUAAAUCUGCAAAGUUGUGAACGACACAAAGGAACCCCCUCCCCAGACUCCCAGAUGCUUCAUCCCCAAGGAUGGGGCUGCUCCGUUGGCUGGUUCUGGGAGGAUGCACCCAGAGCUGCAGAAAUGGGCGGCUGAGUGGGACGGGGCAGCCGUGAGCCGGAAUCAGGAGCCAGGACCCUGAGCUCUGCCUCCCUCGGCCACCAGCCCUCCCGUCUCUGGGACUCAUUCUGCUCAUCUGCACAAUGACAGACACACAUUCCGAUUCAAUAAGGCCUGGUGGGUCUGGUGGGACAGAGGUAACCUCCAAGCUGUCUGUCCCCAGAGCCUGCCAGGAACACAGAGAGCCUGAAGCUGAACCCAGCACCUCUGCUGCACCCACUGGAGGACUUUGGGUGAUGCCAUCAGCCUGCUUCCCGUAGACCAGAGUUCACACCCAUACCUUGUGGCUCCCUUGGGUCCUUGUGGCCCUUAUUUGGAUUGCUACAUAUGACCUCUUCUCUCUAACUCAGAUUUCCACACAGGUGCAGGGCCCUGGGCACAGCUUGGACCCAAGCUAGCAAAGAGUAGCCUGCCCAGAAAGGCUUGCUGACCAGCAGAAUCAAGACCCAAAUGAGUAAAUACAAAUACAGCUGUCCCUGCUCAGGGACCAGCCCUGACUCCCCGUCACCGGCAUGUCCCACUGCCAAAUUCCCAAGCCAUCCAAGUCCUUCACUCAUGAGCUAUGUUCAGUCCUAGAAGUCUCUCACACCCUCCAUACCCCAGACAUUCCACAAUCAACCUUCCCUGGACUUCCAUGGCCCAGGGCCUUUGCAUAUACCAGGGAUUUCUCUAUCCAGCAAAGUCCUGCUCUGGGUCAAGCUCCAGUUUGCCCUUUGUAACUGUUGUGCACUAGACUGAAUUCUGGUCACAUCUGUUCUGAACUAAAUGGGGACAUCAUGAAGAUAAAUAGGAUUCCUCUCAUCGACACAUGGCACACAGGGUCAGAGUGAGCCUUAAACUUGACUGCAUACAGACUGACCACCCCAGGUUUCAGCUAGCUACCCAGAAACAGUUCAUCCUAAUAGCUAACCUGCAUAGCUCCUGCUGUAAUUUUGAAAACCAUUCCCUGGAUACUGGGUGCGAUAUUUUCAGCCAAGUGUAGAUGAGACUGUAUUCUUAGAGCUCCGGAGCCGAGGGAAGGAGCAGGCUUGGGAAUUUCCAGGCAAACGCCAGCAGAAAUUGGCCACAAAUGAAUCAUUAACUUUUGAGUCGAGAGCUCUGAGUAGCUGGUGCCAAGGUCUCAGGCUCUGGCCUGUGUGGGCCACUUGGCCUCCCUUGGCUCAGGCCUGAGGUCACCCCCCCUCCGCCCCUGCUGGCCAUCUGCUUCACCCCACAGCCACUGGUCAUCGAGAGCCGGAGCCAUCCGAGCCAGAGCUGCCCAGAUGUCUUAUGGGAGAGGUCCGCCUUUCCCCGGGAAGGACUCCAAACUGUGCCCACACACUCGUGUCCUUCUGGAAUGCUGUCCCUUCCAGUGAGCUCAGCUCUUUGUCCUUCAAGGUCUGGCUCUGGCCCAGCCUGCCUCCGCUCUUGCCCCUGCACCUGGGCCCACCUUGGCCCCAUGACCUCUGAGCUCUUGCAGCCCUGGCCAUGUCCGCAUGCUGCCCUCUGCCUGCCCUGGCCUGGGUGCCAGAGCCUCAUUUCUCUGUUGAAGCCCCUGCCAGGAUAGGGCCUCUGCAUCCUCUUCUGGAUCUUGGCAGCUGGCCGGGGUGGGCACAGGCUGGGAGGUCACACCAUAUGGGCUCACUCAUGGGCUCCUUCUGGGCCAGCACCUACGGGGCUGCUAGGGGGGUCUCCAGCCCACACCUGGCUCCAGUGGGUCAUCAUGCUUCCUCCUGGGCCUCCUUUCAGGGCCUCUGUGGUCUGAAGGAGGCAAGUAACCGGACCGCAGCUCCCCCCGCCCACCCCGUAGCAGGACUGGGUGGUGCCAAACACUGGUUUCUCAGUAGUCAGCAGAGAUCAGAACCAACCACCUCCUUCCCCAGGUACCAUGCUGCAGCUGGGGCUGCUGGCUGUACGGCAGCCCCUUGCGCUCCCUGAGGAAGGGCUUGGAUUCUUCUCCAGUGGGACUGCUGGACAUCUAGAAGCACAGAGGAUACCUCAGCAGCAGGCAUCCUGCUCUGAAGGCACACCAUUCUCCACGUGCUCACCGGACCAGACUUAGUGGCCCCUCACAUGGCGAGAAGCCCUGCUCUAACCAGCCUCCUGACUGCCUCUCCCUUCCCCCAUGGGGCCUGGUACCUCUGCCCUCGCCUGCCCAUGGAGCGCUCCUUCUCUUUCUCUGAGUGCACACCCCUGCCCUUCUACACUGGGAACUGCUCCUGACCACCCUCACCUGGUACAGCCCACCCAAUGAAGAGAGAAGACCCCCUUCCUGACCCAGGCACUGUGAGCCUCAGCAUCCCUACUAUGGACUCACGUGGUAUUUAUGCCCGUUUAUUAAUGAAGACGCAGAGACACAGAGAUUAAAAGUGGCCAGAAGUCACGUGACCAUUUGGCUUCUGAAGUCUCAUCCACGAGGCUACAAAAACUCCAAGUGAAUGAAUAAGUAAACUCAUAAGUGAGAUUUAAAUACCA